AGGAGAGAUGUGCUAGGGUACAGGACCUAGCUAGGGUACAGGCAAGGAAAACAUUUCUAAUGUACAGAAUGAUAGAGUCACAAAGUCAAUCAAAGCCAAACCUGGACCCCUACCUCACUUGAUGGGGACUGGCCCUAGCUGAAUUUACCUCACUAUCAGAACUGUCUCUUGUCUUAACUCGGGAACCCAACAGAUGUGGGUAGGAGGAUUACAGCUCUUUGGCUACAAUUUAUUUCUGUUGUCUAUUUCUGCAAAAUGGACUCCGCAGAACACAGUGGGAAAACAAUGACUUCUGUGCUCCUGUUUCUCUAUUUUGUGGGAGGACUCCCUGGAGGUAGCUCCAUGAGUUGUCUUUUGAGGCUGGAACAUUCUAGAAGGCUUGUUCAUUCACAUGUCUGGAGUGUGGACUGGUAUAGUUGGACCAGCUAGAUUGUGUGUGGGUAUCUCUCUAUGUGGCCUCUCCAAGUGGCCAGGUUCAGCCUUCUCAAGCAUGAAAAUUUCAGGGAAGUGACACUUUUGACGUGGCAGUGUAAUGCCAGAUUCUGGGACCUCAAUAGAUCUCCAGGAGCGAAAUCCGAUGCAAUCACACAAGAGUCUUUAUUGCAAGCUCGAGCCUGGACUCACCACCAUUUCCAACGCAGCGGUCCCAGGGAGUGAGUCCUAGUCCUUUGUCCAGUGAGAUUUUAUAGGUUUUGGGGGGAUACUCUAUGUGUCACAACAUCACAGCAUUCCAUACCACGGGAAAGUUAAAAAAAAAUUCUUAGCAUUGAUUAGCACAUUCACUGGCGGGAACAAGUUGGGUAGGGAUGAUUGGUUAGUACAAGAGGGGGAUUCCUUUGAACUGAUUGGUUUAAGCCACGAGAGGUGUACGUGCUAAACUACAUGGUUUCCCAACAUUUUAUCAACCACUAAAUUACUGGGGGGUCAUCUGGUAUCCCAGGUAUUUUCCCUGUGUCAUGAUGAUUGGUGGUUGCUAAGGGGUUGCUAUGGGUCCUCACCUAGCCUAACUGAGUCUGGGACACCUGGCGCUGCAGAUCUCUCCUGUU
RNAcentral lists this long non-coding RNA (1046 nucleotides) under Marmota monax (woodchuck). Lineage: Eukaryota; Metazoa; Chordata; Mammalia; Rodentia; Sciuridae. The record is from RNAcentral.